CAUCUUGAGGACCUGCGCGCAUCUGGGCAGAGCAACGUCCUUCUGGAAUCCCAGAGCAUUCGCCAUACGAACAUUAGAGGCCACACCAUUGUUGCUGGUGAGGAAGACAGGGGCCCUCUCCCGACCAGGCACAGUUGUGGCGCACCUCAUGUCUGGGCUGCUGAUGAGGACGGACUCACAGAGCUCAUCCUCGUGCUCAUCAGUGACGAGGAUGUUGUAAGUGCCAGUGCGGUCAGUGUGCCCCUCGUAGGUGCAUGACUUCAAUCCAGUGGUUUUCGAUCUGCACUCAACUCUUACCUUUGCUCCUGUAGUAACAAAAAAUGCCAUAUUAACAGCAGUUGACAAAGAAAGAAAUGCAUGACUGAAAAAUGGAUGCUAUCAUUUUGUUCAUUCAGCUCUAAUUUUCUACCUUUUUCAGUUGGUUCCUCCCAACCAAUUAGAGUAGAAGAUAAUAGUUUUGAGCACCAGGCAGUAUAAUUGUAAGCCAUAAAACCUUUUCUGUUUUCACAUCAAAAGUGUAUAAAAGUAGUGCUGCUUCUUUUUUCAGUAUUCAAUAUAUGCCAGAUAGCCAGGUUAAAUUUAAACAGUUUUUACAGUAUUCCACACCAAGUAGCAGGGAGUAAACAAAACCUGACCAUUAAUUAUAAUGGGUAUUAUAGACCUUUGUAUUAUCCCAAACAACAAAAUUUGUUGACUAACUGAUCAUGCCUCAAAUCUCGCUCGUGCCACAUACAGACAACAAACGCAUGCCUAAUUCAGGGAACCUCACGGCUACCCAUGGAGGAAAGUUAGAUACAUUCCUAAUGUGGAGAAGAAUACAUGGCAUGCUUGCUAAAAUGUUGAGAACAUGAUAGCUCCAAAUCAUCAGCCUUUCAAGCUUCACAUAAUGAUAGAUCUCGAUUGAGUGUGCUGUCACGCUGCCCAAAUCAAUCCUUCCAUUAGAGAAAUUCUCAGACCUAACAUUGAGCUUUCAUGGAUCUAUCAUUAAUUUUGAGCUUUACUGAUCAGUCGAUGCAAGGAUAAAAAGAAAAUACAAUUGUUUGAUUGCAUGAUCCAUCCCGCUUCAUAUGAGGAAACAAACAAAAUUAAUUUCACAGCAAGGGGGAUGCACAGAUUCUGGAUGUGCGGUGGCUGGGAGAGAAGGCAAAAACCUGGUUGUCGAUACGAGGGAGAUUAAUUGACUUGAAAUAAGAGGUUUGUACGGAGUAUGUUACAGUUUUGCCCUUCAAACAGUUGUACUCGCUCCAACGUGUCGAGAGAGUAUAAUAGAUCUCAUCCAUCUGAUUGAGGAGAUUGGAUGGUUCAGAAUGAUUUGUGGGCAUCCUAAAAGAGCUCUAAAUUUUUAGUACCACAUUCUAGAUGCAACAGGCACACAAUUCAAGGUAUUGCUCUUUUCCUAAGCAAUAUUCCAAAAAUCACUAUGCCUAGCCAGGCCCAACUUUAUAAAAGCGAAAAUAUUUGGGUAUCCAAUUAAUAAUAUUGCCAUACUUAGGGACUGCCAUUUUCAGUAAGCAAUAUUCUGAGAAUCUCCAGGCCUGGCCUGGCCCAGCUUUCUAAAAGAGAAAAGAUUCCAGGACCCAACAACCACUUUCUUCCUGAAUUGUCCGAUGAUAGAAUAAGCUAAAAAAUUGUUCUAGCCACAUAACAGUAUAAAUUUAUCUAACUAAUAAUUUGUUAAUAUUCCAAUGUUACUGGAGAACAAAAUUUGCAGUGCCCCUAGUGUUCACUCAAGCCCUCCUGGAAAUCUGUAUCAUUGUUCCGUCAAGUAAUCUAUUGGCACUGACAUAUAUAGUUCUCAUAAACAAUUCAUAUUUCGUGCAAAAUAGGAAAAGGACAAGUUGUUUCUCUUGUCCUAAAUGUCAUCUUUAAUUGACUGGAGGUAGCACUAUCUCGCUACUGAAGGAAUACAACUUUGUACACUUUAAAAAUAAAAACAUGGACAGCUGUAGAAAAACAAUGACAUUCAACUAAUCUACAAAAGGAUAGCAAUUAUCUCCUGCCAGAAGCCCAGAACUGCAGUCAGUUAGAGCAACUCCAAGAGGCCGCUAAUCUUACCCCCAAUACUUUUUUUAGGGAAAAAAGGAGAAAAAACGAACUCCAACAGUCCACCCAAACCUUCCCCAAUUUUUUAGCAACGCUAAAAAACAGCCUACCACCGCGUAUAUUUUAGCGUUGGCAUUCCUCCCCCAAUCCUGAUUCCCGCACGCUCGCGCGUCCCUUCCGAUGGGCCCAAUACGAUGACGUAGCCUGUUUUAAAAUAUUGGGGGCUAUUUAUUAGCGAUCUGCUGUGGAUUGAUAUGUUUUUGGGGGAAUUUUUUUUUGAAAGAACCCCCAAUACAUAGUUUUGGGGAAGAAUUUUUUGGAGUACUCUUGGAGUUGCUCUUAUACAGGUUAAGAUACAUAGCCUACCACUACCUAUGGCAAACUAACAUAUUCACUCAAAUUCACCAAUUUUGUCCAGCAGGAUAGAUCUAGUCUUUGUUUGGAUGUAAGUCUUGGAUACUCAACAUCUCUGCUCUCUUGCAAAUUUGUCAUCAACACCAAUUUUACAGCCAAUGUAUUUUUAUUAAUGAAGAUUGAGUGUUUCUAUUUGUGUCCAGUAUUUGAACUAUUGAUUGAUGAGGCAAACAGCCGAAUCAUUUCUAUACAGCUCAGCAUGCAUGUUUGAUUAUCCUGUAUAUGGUGAAGACUACUAGUUUCAAAGUUCAUGUCUUAUUCUGAAGAUAGACUACAUUCAGGUAUUUGGAUCAACUACCACUGUUCUGAUACACUAACUGGUAGCAUCAUGGAAUAUGAGCAAAAUGGCUCAAGCCAGGCCCAGUGUCCAACCAUGUCUACCAAUUACGCCAUCCCAAAUUCCAACCAUGCAAUCCAGACCAAAAUCACAGCUCCUAUUGAUCUAUCCUGCUUGCCUAUUCACCACCGAAAAUAUAUCAAGUUUAGAGUUUACAGACCUAUAUUUUGCACAUUCAUACUCAUUACCAUGUAGUAGAAAUGCACGUCUGGUAGAUCCACUAGAAGAACUAGAAAUUUCACCAUCACAAACUGGGUGUUCGCUUAGAUAAGAAAACGAACCACAAGUGGAUCUAAGAAAACAAAUCUACGGCAGCAGCAGCAACAACAUGUGAGAGCAUCGUGCAGACGACAUGGUGCAGACUGGCAGAGCGCUAACUUCAGCACUAAGCAAUCCCAGAGAUGCAACCGGCUUUCCACUUUUAGGAGGCACAAGGUCUAACGCCAUUCACUUGCCCAGAACGCUUGAGCGCAUCCAAACACCAUUUCCCUGAACCAAUCCACUCGUAGAGGCAUCACACAUCUAGAUCGAGUAUCAGAUCACGGGAAAUAUAAAGAACAGAAACAACUUUUUUUUCUCUCAGUUCUCUACGUUCAGAGACCAGAUCAGUAACAAGGGAGGGCGAGCGGGAGGGAAGGAAGCGUCGCACCGGCAAUGUAGGUGGAGACGGGGGUCUCGAAGCCGGCGCGGCAGGUGUCGCACCAGACGCGGCCGCGCACGACAAAGCUGGCGGACCGGAGCGGGCGGAGGUCGCGGGACGCGGCGGCUCCCGAAGCCGCAAGCACGCACAGCGCCGCGGCGAGGAGGAGGGACGCGCGGAGGGAGGCCAUCGCGCUCGCCGCCAGCACGAGACGGGCAGUGGAGGGGAGGGAGGAGAGCAGAUGGCGAUGGGUGGCGGAGUGGGAGUGUGGAGGGGUGGAGUGAGGAGGGGGGAGUCGAGGACGAGGGGAAUAAUGGUCGCGUCUCGUCGUCGUCGGAGGUCGCGUGGUGGGGCGGCGUGGAAUUAUGUCGGCAUGUGGGGGUUGGAUUGGGCGC
Molecule: long non-coding RNA, 3829 nt
Filed under: Setaria viridis
Lineage: Eukaryota; Viridiplantae; Streptophyta; Magnoliopsida; Poales; Poaceae
Description: long non-coding RNA (SVIR_LNC010502)
Source: RNAcentral